This 247-nucleotide ribosomal RNA is filed under the name Escherichia coli. RNAcentral describes it as "partial 23S ribosomal RNA". It matches the Rfam family "Bacterial large subunit ribosomal RNA", at positions 2110 to 2356 of the family's 2925-position model. Lineage: Bacteria; Pseudomonadati; Pseudomonadota; Gammaproteobacteria; Enterobacterales; Enterobacteriaceae. The record is from RNAcentral.
CUUGACACUGAACAUUGAGCCUUGAUGUGUAGGAUAGGUGGGAGGCUUUGAAGUGUGGACGCCAGUCUGCAUGGAGCCGACCUUGAAAUACCACCCUUUAAUGUUUGAUGUUCUAACGUUGACCCGUGAUCCGGGUUGCGGACAGUGUCUGGUGGGUAGUUUGACUGGGGCGGUCUCCUCCUAAAGAGUAACGGAGGAGCACGAAGGUUGGCUAAUCCUGGUCGGACAUCAGGAGGAUAGUGCAAUG